RNAcentral lists this ribosomal RNA (1306 nucleotides) under metagenome. RNAcentral's name for it is "bacterial LSU rRNA". It matches the Rfam family "Bacterial large subunit ribosomal RNA", at positions 1553 to 2854 of the family's 2925-position model. The record is from RNAcentral.
UUACCGAGGCCAACGAUCGAGCGGACUUGUCCGUGAAGUGACUGAACGAGGUUCCAGGAAAAGCCACUAAGCUUCAGCUAUAUACGACCGUACCGCAAACCGACACUGGUGCGCGAGAUGAGUAUUCUAAGGCGCUUGAGAGAACUCAGGAGAAGGAACUCGGCAAAUUGACACCGUAACUUCGGAAGAAGGUGUGCCCUAUUAGUGUGUAGUGAACAACGAAGCAUGAAUGGGUUGCAAAAAAUCGGUGGCUGCGACUGUUUAUUAAAAACACAGCACUCUGCAAACACGAAAGUGGACGUAUAGGGUGUGACGCCUGCCCGGUGCUGGAAGAUUAAAUGAUGGGGUGCAAGCUCUUGAUUGAAGUCCCAGUAAACGGCGGCCGUAACAAUAACGGUCCUAAGGUAGCGAAAUUCCUUGUCGGGUAAGUUCCGACCUGCACGAAUGGCGUAACGAUAGCCACACUGUUUCCUCCUGAGACUCAGCGAAGUUGAAAUGUUUGUGAUGAUGCAAUCUCCCCGCGGAAAGACGGAAAGACCCCAUGAACCUUUACUGUAGCUUUGUAUUGGACUUUGAACAGAUCUGUGUAGGAUAGGUGGGAGGCUUUGAAGCAGGGUCGCUAGAUCUUGUGGAGCCAACGUUGAAAUACCACCCUGGUGUGUUUGAGGUUCUAACCUAGGUCCAUUAUCUGGAUCGGGGACAGUGCAUGGUAGGCAGUUUGACUGGGGCGGUCUCCUCCCAAAGCGUAACGGAGGAGUUCGAAGGUACGCUAGUUACGGUCGGACAUCGUGACGAUAGUGCAAUGGCAUAAGCGUGCUUAACUGCGAGACUGACAAGUCGAGCAGAUGCGAAAGCAGGACAUAGUGAUCCGGUGGUUCUGUAUGGAAGGGCCAUCGCUCAACGGAUAAAGGUACUCUGGGGAUAACAGGCUGAUACCGCCCAAGAGUUCAUAUCGACGGCGGUGUUUGGCACCUCGAUGUCGGCUCAUCUCAUCCUGGGGCUGUAGCCGGUCCCAAGGGUAUGGCUGUUCGCCAUUUAAAGAGGUACGUGAGCUGGGUUUAAAACGUCGUGAGACAGUUUGGUCCCUAUCUUCCGUGGGCGCUGCAGAUUUGAGGAAGCCUGCUCCUAGUACGAGAGGACCGGAGUGGACACAUCUCUGGUGUAUCGGUUGUCACGCCAGUGGCAUUGCCGAGUAGCUAAGUGUGGAAGAGAUAACCGCUGAAAGCAUCUAAGCGGGAAACUCGUUUCAAGAUGAGAUCUGCCGGGGCCUUGAGCCCCCUAAAGAGUCGUUCAAGACCAGGACGUU